GCCUCCAUAGCUCAAUUGGUAGAGCGUUCGGCUUUUAACCGAAAUGUCGUGGGUUCGAGCCCCACUGGAGGCG
Non-coding RNA from Coemansia erecta, 73 nucleotides. The record is from the annotation of a GenBank genome assembly. NCBI's taxonomy places the organism in Eukaryota, Fungi, Kickxellomycota, Kickxellomycetes, Kickxellales, Kickxellaceae.